GACGAACGCUGGCGGCGUGCCUAAUACAUGCAAGUCGAACGCACUCUCGUUUAGAUUGAAGGAGCUUGCUCCUGAUUGAUAAACAUUUGAGUGAGUGGCGGACGGGUGAGUAACACGUGGGUAACCUGCCCUAAAGUGGGGGAUAACAUUUGGAAACAGAUGCUAAUACCGCAUAAAACCUAACACCGCAUGGUGUAGGGUUGAAAGAUGGUUUCGGCUAUCACUUUAGGAUGGACCCGCGGUGCAUUAGUUAGUUGGUGAGGUAAAGGCUCACCAAGACCGUGAUGCAUAGCCGACCUGAGAGGGUAAUCGGCCACACUGGGACUGAGACACGGCCCAGACUCCUACGGGAGGCAGCAGUAGGGAAUCUUCCACAAUGGACGAAAGUCUGAUGGAGCAACGCCGCGUGAGUGAAGAAGGUUUUCGGAUCGUAAAACUCUGUUGUUGGAGAAGAAUGUAUCUGAUAGUAACUGAUCAGGUAGUGACGGUAUCCAACCAGAAAA
This 503-nucleotide ribosomal RNA is filed under the name uncultured bacterium. Its description in RNAcentral is "bacterial SSU rRNA". It matches the Rfam family "Bacterial small subunit ribosomal RNA", at positions 28 to 490 of the family's 1533-position model. The record is from RNAcentral.